CCUACGGGAGGCAGCAGUGAGGAAUAUUGGUCAAUGGACGGAAGUCUGAACCAGCCAUGCCGCGUGCAGGAAGACGGCUCUAUGAGUUGUAAACUGCUUUUGUACAAGGGUAAACCUGAAUACGUGUAUUCAGCUGAAAGUACUGUACGAAUAAGGAUCGGCUAACUCCGUGCCAGCAGCCGCGGUAAUACGGAGGAUCCAAGCGUUAUCCGGAUUUAUUGGGUUUAACGGGUGCGUAGGCGGAUUGAUAAGUUAGAGGUGAAAUGUCCGAGCUUAACUCGGGAACUGCCUCUAAUACUGUUGAUCUAGAGAGUAGAUGCGGUAGGCGGAAUGUAUGGUGUAGCGGUGAAAGGCUUAGAGAUCAUACAGAACACCGAUUGCGAAGGCAGCUUACCAAUCUAUAUCUGACGUUGAGGCACGAAAGCGUGGGGAGCAAACAGGAUUAGAUACCCUGGUAGUC
Molecule: ribosomal RNA, 460 nt
Filed under: uncultured bacterium
Lineage: Bacteria
Description: partial 16S ribosomal RNA
Rfam family: Bacterial small subunit ribosomal RNA
Source: RNAcentral